UACGGGGGAGCAAGCGUUGUUCGGAUUUACUGGGCGUAAAGGGCGCGUAGGCGGUCAGUGCAAGUCAGUUGUGAAAUCUCCGGGCUUAACUCGGAACGGUCAACUGAUACUGCUCGACUAGAGUGCGGAAGGGGCAACUGGAAUUCUUGGUGUAGCGGUGAAAUGCGUAGAUAUCAGGAGGAACACCGGUGGCGAAGGCGGGUCUCUGGGCAGUAACUGACGCUGAGGAGCGAAAGCGUGGGGAGCGAACAGG
Molecule: ribosomal RNA, 253 nt
Filed under: uncultured bacterium
Lineage: Bacteria
Description: partial 16S ribosomal RNA
Rfam family: Bacterial small subunit ribosomal RNA
Source: RNAcentral